AUUAACUGAAUCCAUAGGUUAAUGAGGCGAACCGGGGGAACUGAAACAUCUAAGUACCCCGAGGAAAAGAAAUCAACCGAGAUUCCCCCAGUAGCGGCGAGCGAACGGGGAGCAGCCCAGAGCCUGAAUCAGUGUGUGUGUUAGUGGAAGCGUCUGGAAAGGCGUGCGAUACAGGGUGACAGCCCCGUACACAAAAAUGCACAUAUUGUGAGCUCGAUGAGUAGGGCGGGACACGUGGUAUCCUGUCUGAAUAUGGGGGGACCAUCCUCCAAGGCUAAAUACUCCUGACUGACCGAUAGUGAACCAGUACCGUGAGGGAAAGGCGAAAAGAACCCCGGCGAGGGGAGUGAAAAAGAACCUGAAACCGUGUACGUACAAGCAGUGGGAGCACGCUUAGGCGUGUGACUGCGUACCUUUUGUAUAAUGGGUCAGCGACUUAUAUUCUGUAGCAAGGUUAACCGAAUAGGGGAGCCGAAGGGAAACCGAGUCUUAACUGGGCGUUAAGUUGCAGGGUAUAGACCCGAAACCCGGUGAUCUAGCCAUGGGCAGGUUGAAGGUUGGGUAACACUAACUGGAGGACCGAACCGACUAAUGUUGAAAAAUUAGCGGAUGACUUGUGGCUGGGGGUGAAAGGCCAAUCAAACCGGGAGAUAGCUGGUUCUCCCCGAAAGCUAUUUAGGUAGCGCCUCGUGAAUUCAUCUCCGGGGGUAGAGCACUGUUUCGGCAAGGGGGUCAUCCCGACUUACCAACCCGAUGCAAACUGCGAAUACCGGAGAAUGUUAUCACGGGAGACACACGGCGGGUGCUAACGUCCGUCGUGAAGAGGGAAACAACCCAGACCGCCAGCUAAGGUCCCAAAGUCAUGGUUAAGUGGGAAACGAUGUGGGAAGGCCCAGACAGCCAGGAUGUUGGCUUAGAAGCAGCCAUCAUUUAAAGAAAGCGUAAUAGCUCACUGGUCGAGUCGGCCUGCGCGGAAGAUGUAACGGGGCUAAACCAUGCACCGAAGCUGCGGCAGCGACACUAUGUGUUGUUGGGUAGGGGAGCGUUCUGUAAGCCUGUGAAGGUGUACUGUGAGGUAUGCUGGAGGUAUCAGAAGUGCGAAUGCUGACAUAAGUAACGAUAAAGCGGGUGAAAAGCCCGCUCGCCGGAAGACCAAGGGUUCCUGUCCAACGUUAAUCGGGGCAGGGUGAGUCGACCCCUAAGGCGAGGCCGAAAGGCGUAGUCGAUGGGAAACAGGUUAAUAUUCCUGUACUUGGUGUUACUGCGAAGGGGGGACGGAGAAGGCUAUGUUGGCCGGGCGACGGUUGUCCCGGUUUAAGCGUGUAGGCUGGUUUUCCAGGCAAAUCCGGAAAACUAAGGCUGAGGCGUGAUGACGAGGCACUACGGUGCUGAAGCAACAAAUGCCCUGCUUCCAGGAAAAGCCUCUAAGCAUCAGGUAACAUCAAAUCGUACCCCAAACCGACACAGGUGGUCAGGUAGAGAAUACCAAGGCGCUUGAGAGAACUCGGGUGAAGGAACUAGGCAAAAUGGUGCCGUAACUUCGGGAGAAGGCACGCUGAUAUGUAGGUGAAGUCCCUCGCGGAUGGAGCUGAAAUCAGUCGAAGAUACCAGCUGGCUGCAACUGUUUAUUAAAAACACAGCACUGUGCAAACACGAAAGUGGACGUAUACGGUGUGACGCCUGCCCGGUGCCGGAAGGUUAAUUGAUGGGGUCAGCGCAAGCGAAGCUCUUGAUCGAAGCCCCGGUAAACGGCGGCCGUAACUAUAACGGUCCUAAGGUAGCGAAAUUCCUUGUCGGGUAAGUUCCGACCUGCACGAAUGGCGUAAUGAUGGCCAGGCUGUCUCCACCCGAGACUCAGUGAAAUUGAACUCGCUGUGAAGAUGCAGUGUACCCGCGGCAAGACGGAAAGACCCCGUGAACCUUUACUAUAGCUUGACACUGAACAUUGAGCCUUGAUGUGUAGGAUAGGUGGGAGGCUUUGAAGUGUGGACGCCAGUCUGCAUGGAGCCGACCUUGAAAUACCACCCUUUAAUGUUUGAUGUUCUAACGUUGACCCGUAAUCCGGGUUGCGGACAGUGUCUGGUGGGUAGUUUGACUGGGGCGGUCUCCUCCUAAAGAGUAACGGAGGAGCACGAAGGUUGGCUAAUCCUGGUCGGACAUCAGGAGGUUAGUGCAAUGGCAUAAGCCAGCUUGACUGCGAGCGUGACGGCGCGAGCAGGUGCGAAAGCAGGUCAUAGUGAUCCGGUGGUUCUGAAUGGAAGGGCCAUCGCUCAACGGAUAAAAGGUACUCCGGGGAUAACAGGCUGAUACCGCCCAAGAGUUCAUAUCGACGGCGGUGUUUGGCACCUCGAUGUCGGCUCAUCACAUCCUGGGGCUGAAGUAGGUCCCAAGGGUAUGGCUGUUCGCCAUUUAAAGUGGUACGCGAGCUGGGUUUAGAACGUCGUGAGACAGUUCGGUCCCUAUCUGCCGUGGGCGCUGGAGAACUGAGGGGGGCUGCUCCUAGUACGAGAGGACCGGAGUGGACGCAUCACUGGUGUUCGGGUUGUCAUGCCAAUGGCACUGCCCGGUAGCUAAAUGCGGAAGAGAUAAGUGCUGAAAGCAUCUAAGCACGAAACUUGCCCCGAGAUGAGUUCUCCCUGACUCCUUGAGAGUCCUGAAGGAACGUUGAAGACGACGACGUUGAUAGGCCGGGUGUGUAAGCGCAGCGAUGCGUUGAGCUAACCGGUACUAAUGAACCGUGAGGCUUAACCUUACAACGCCGAAGGUGUUU
RNAcentral lists this ribosomal RNA (2770 nucleotides) under Shigella boydii. RNAcentral's name for it is "bacterial LSU rRNA". It matches the Rfam family "Bacterial large subunit ribosomal RNA". Lineage: Bacteria; Pseudomonadati; Pseudomonadota; Gammaproteobacteria; Enterobacterales; Enterobacteriaceae. The record is from RNAcentral.